Molecule: long non-coding RNA, 447 nt
Organism: Girardinichthys multiradiatus
Lineage: Eukaryota; Metazoa; Chordata; Actinopteri; Cyprinodontiformes; Goodeidae
Exons: 3
Source: RefSeq, a predicted model, not a curated record
AGUUUGUUGAGAAAAUACUUGAGGGACAACAGCCUAUUUUUCCUGCCGGACGUAAGGAUGUGGAAAUGCUACGUUGGCAGAUUGCAGUCACUGUGCUGGAGGCAUCAGAUGACUUGACAGAUAUCUGCUGCAUCUGAGGACAGAAAGACAAUCCCAAAGAGAAGAAGAGCAUCAUUUGGAUAUCCUGUGAUGUGUGCUUGAGGUGGUUUCACCAUGUUUGCUGUGAAUGUCCAAACACAUCAGCAGCUUUUAUUUGUAAGGCCUGUUGAGGGAACAUGACUUGUUGAAGUUUUUCACAACUCUGCAAUUUGUUCAGUGUUUAUUUACAGGUGGAAUUACACCAAUUGUUUUUAUACUAUUAUUUAUUUUAGAUUUUAAAAAUAAGCACAUUGUAUUUAUGUUGAAUACUUAUCUUAAUUGAAUGACCUAUGUUUAAACAACAUGUUC